Panicum virgatum (switchgrass) is the source of this 105-nucleotide small nucleolar RNA. RefSeq annotates it as small nucleolar RNA Z103. The transcript has a single exon. The record is from RefSeq and is a predicted model, not a curated record. NCBI's taxonomy places the organism in Eukaryota, Viridiplantae, Streptophyta, Magnoliopsida, Poales, Poaceae.
AUGGAAGUGAGGAUCCUUUCCCCAGAUGAUCGACUGUGAUUAUACUGUGCGCAAUUGUGAUGCCUCCUCUUGUGAGGAGGAUUUCAAGCCAGAAAUCUGAUCCAU